UUGUAAUAAUGUAUUGACAAAGUUUAUGGCCUGAGUACAGGCAGUUCCUGUCCCAGUAUUCAGACCAGAGAGUUAAUUUUGGUACAGAUGCUAUAAGGACAGGCUUUGGAGGUAGAAGGGCAAGCCAUGAUCUUGGUGCUGCCCCCAUGCAGAGCACGUAAUCUCUCCCUGAGCCAUGGCAGCUGCUGCCACUGUUGAUGUUUCUGCCCAUUGCUCAGGAUUCCAGAAGACCCAAGCCUGCACACAACCUGUUCACACCUAUCAUGUCUGCUCUGCUCAUGCUUCAUUGUCUCAUUGGACUUCACGGACCAAGCACAAGUUCAAAGGUUUAUCAACAGGGAGCUUAUCUGUGUGGGACCAUUCUAAUAGUCAGGAUCGAUAUUAUACGAACAACCAUAUGAACUUGGAAGCAGAUUUUUUCCCAGAGUCUUCAAACAGGAGUCCAACCAAGCUGACAACCUGGAUUUCAACCUGAUAAGUUCCUGUGAAUAUGUGUAUCCUUUCACUAAUACCAUACUAUUUUAAUUAUUGGAUAUUCAUCUUGCGUUUCUGGGAUAAACACUGCUUGGUUAAGAUACAUUAACUUUUUAUAUUGCUGGACUUGAUUCGCUAAUUAUUUGGUUGAAGAUUUUGUGUCUAUGUGCAUGAAGGAUAUUGGCCUGUAGUAAGUCUUACAGCAAGUCUUGAAAUGGAAUAGAUUCCUUUAAUGUUGUUCUUUUUCAAAUGUGCUUUUGCUAUUCUAGUUUAUUUGCCUUUCUAUAUACCUUUUAGAGCCAGCUUGACAAUAUUUACAAAAAAGCCUGCUGAGAUUGCAUUGAAUGUGUAGAUUUAAUUGGGAGAGAAGUGAGAGCAUAGUAAUAUUGAGUCUUCCAAUUUAUCAACAAGUUACAUCUCUCCAUUUAUUUAGAUAUAAUUUGCUUUUUUGAUCAGUGCUUUGUACUUUUUAGCAUUUAGAUCUUGUACAUUUUCAAUAAAUUUAUGCCUAAGGAUUUAAUUUUUUGGAUCUGUUGUAAAUAGUACUUUUAUCUUAUUUUUUUUUUUCAAAUUCCCACUGUUUGCUGUUAGUAUCCAGAAAUACAGCUGAUUUUUGUGUAUUGACCUUGUUUUCUGCAACCUUGAUAAACUCAAUUGUUACUUCAUUACCUUUUCUGUGGAUUCCUGAAAUUCUCUAUGUCCACAAUUACGUUGUCUGGGAACAGAGAGUGAUUUUUCAAAUAUGUGUACACUGUAUUUUUAUUGCAUUAUUACACUGAUUAGGACAUACUGUAUGAUGCUAAAUAGUUUCAGUGAAAGAGGACAUCCAGACUCUUACCAGAAAGUUUGAUGUUAGCUGCAAGGUUUGUGUGUGUGUGCCUUUUAUCAGGUUAAAGACAUUCUCUUUUAUUCCUAGUUUGCUGAUCUUUAAAAAUCAUUAACGUGUUGAUUUUUUUCCCAAAUACCUUUUCUCUCUCUCUAUAUAUAUAAGACAUGAUUAUAUUACUUUUAAAAUUUAGUCUGUUAAUAUAGUGAGUUACAUUGAUUGAUUUUAAAAGUUGAACCAGUCUUGUAUUUUUGCAAUAAAGACUAUUUGAUCAUGGCAUAGUAACUGUUUUAUGUAUUGCUGGACUUCUAAUUUUGCUAAAGUUUUACUGAAGAUUUUUGUGUCUAUGUUCAUGAGAGUGAGGGAUAUUGGCCUGUAUAUUUCUUGUUUAUAUGUUAUGUUUUCGGUUUUGAUGUUAGGGUAAUGACGGCCUCAUAAAAUGUGUUGGGGAGUGUUUUUUCCCUAUUUUUCAGAAGAGAUUGUUUAUAAUUGGUAUUAUUUCUUCCUUAAAUGUUUGGUGAAUUAACUGGUGAAGUCACCCAAGCUUGGAAUUUUCUUUGUGUAAAGGUUUUUAACUACAAAUUUAAUUUCUAUAAUCGAGGUAGGAUUAUUCAGGUUAUUUUUUUUUCUUGAAUGGGUUUUGGUAGUUGGUGUCUGUCAAGGAAUCAGUUCAUCUCUUCUAAAUUGUUGAAUUUACAGGCAUGGAAUUAUUUGUAGUAUUCGCUUACUAUUCUCUUAAUGUCUGGUAGGUCAGGGGUUAUAUCUGUUAUUUCAUCCCUGUUGGUAGGUUGGUAGGUUGUGUUAUCCAUACCCGACAAUUUUCUAAAUUUUAUUGCAUAGUAUUUUAAUUACCUUUCAGUUUAAAGUAUCUUAAAAUUUUCUCAAGACCUCCUCUUUGAAUCAUAGGAUGUUUAGAAGUGUGUUCUUUAAUUUCCAAGAUUUCAGAGAUUUUUUUCAAAUAUCUUUGUUUUUGAUGCCUAUUUUAAUUUCUUUAUGAUUCAAAAACAUGCUUUGUAUAAAUUCUAUUCUUUUGAAUUUGCUAAUGUUUGUUUUAUGGCCCAGAAUAUAGUCUGUCUUGCUAAAUGUUUUGUGCUCAACUAAAAAAAAAAAUGUAUCUUUUACUGUUUUAAGUGUUGCAUUUUACAUAGCUUCAAAUUGAAAAUCUGUUUAGUAUUUAUGCUGCUCAGCAUUUUGGUACUGUGAGCUAUAAAGACAAAAAGGUGUACCUUUUGGCUAAGGUUACAGUUUGUAGAAGGAACAAGCACAGUUAGUGAAGGAAUACUAUAAUUUAGGGAAAAGGAAAGAUGCUCCUCUCAAAACAGGUUCUCUGCUUCAGUGUGACUCUAUCAAGUUUUGUCUGCUCUUCUGGAUCUGGUUUUUCCAUAACCAGGGAUAUGUAACCUUAACCUGACACUGAGGCUUGUACUUGGCCUUGGAUCAAUUCUGACCUAAGGUGACAGCGGGAUUUAAGCAAUUUUAUCCAUCACUGAUUCUGAGUUUCAGAGUUUCAGGUCUUCUUCACUGCUGUCAGUCAUUGCUUCUAGGAGUCCUAAAUUCUGAUAAAGGUCCACUUUGCUGAGAGUCUGUGAUCACAACAUACUUCAACAGAACCCCGAAUAAAUCCUAAUGAGAUGUCUACCACAGAGAGUGGACUCUGCAGAAAUUGCAAUGUCUUGAGUCAAAUAAUUAACUUGGCAAAGCCUUCUCUGCUCUAAAUACUAGCAACAUCUCUGAACAGCAGACAGCAUUUUAGAGUGAUACAUCUGGAAAGUUGCAAGCACAAAAAUACAUCUGUUUCCGUUGCUAUAGAAAGAUAAACAGGACCAGACUCAAGACACUGUGGGAAAAAAGUUCUUGCCUUAGUCUGCUUACUGUUUACUGCCUUUCUGGAGGAAAAAAAGGUCACAGAUGUGCCAAAUGGUGAGCACAAACUGGUAUACAGUGCAGUCAUCUCAAAUGUUUCCUGUGAAGAAUAAAAACAAGACUGCAUCAACAUGACAGAAAAAAUACUCAGCUGAUUUUUUAUUUAUUUAUAUUUGCCUGCAUUAUAUCAAAUCCAAAAACAUCAAGAAAGUCACAUUUAGCUUUGCAUUCAGGCUCUUUGAGCCAUUUUGUUUAAAAAUGGGUUAAUUGUCCUUUUUAAUGUUAGUCUGGUUAUAGAUAUUUUUAGGAUUUUCUAGCUUUCUCAUGAUAAACUAUAUGCGGUUGAUUAACAAUAGAUUUAUCUAAUGCUUUCUUACAGCAUUUGAUAUUUUUAACCCACACGAUAUCUUGGAAGUAAUUUGCUACUUGCUAAUUGAAGAGGUAUUUACUUUUAUUUGCCUAAAAAUGACUGGUCUGACUGGUUUUUUGACUGAAUUAAGUGAAAGUUUUGAUAUGCUGAAGAAGUCGGAAGUGGCCAAAUGAUCUAGAAGAACAACAACAUUUUUUCCUUAUGGGGUCAAAUUAUGAGCUUCUUAUCUCCAAGUGAUCUGUCAAAUAUUUUCAGCCAGAAGCCAUCAGAUAAAUGGAGAUACUGGUUCACACUGGACCUUUUUGGAAGAGAGAAUGAACCUUCCGCACAGUUACCUCUGCUGGCUUCACAUUGGCCAAGUCCAGAUUGAGGAUCUAUUAGUCAUGUCUGACAGGAAAGCACACGGUGUAUCCUUGGCAUUCAGGGUGAUGUAUGGGCAUCUGAUAGGGUAUUUGCUUCCCCUGACAAAUCCAGCACCUACUUUCCAACCAGCAUCGAAUAACCAAGGAUCUGUGGGUACAGGAGGAGGGGCGGUUAUUCAAGCGCUGGAUUUGUGUUAAAUCUAGGAUCAGUGGGACCUAAUGAAUCUGCCAUUGGAGGCAUGCCCCAGUGAGAGGCAGAACUGUUGGCUACCAAGAAAACCACGUGCUGUUCCCCUUGCCUGAACAGCAGGGCUUUCAGCAAAUGCCUCAUAAAACCCAGGGACAGCUAGAACUGGGGAGGUAUGUGUGCUUGAAGGCCCUCCUGAUCAUUUUUCCCCCUUUUAAACUCCGUUCAGCAUGUUGACCCCCUGUUUUCCUUGCCAUGGAUUCAGAAGAGAUGAAAGCCAGUGGGUUUUUCACCAGCAGGGAAAAUAAAUGAGGACUCAACUUAGAAAAAGGACAGCCUUUCUUAGGUUUUCUGGCACAGCUGCUGGGCAUUCGGCAUUAAAUUGAAAGAGAGUAUAAGCGAUGCAGAAAAUAUGAUCAAGAUCACCCUAGGCAAGCAGGGAUUCCUUUAAAUGCAUGGAUAGCCUGGUAUGAAAGAUUUCACUAGGAGGGGAACACUGCUCAACUAGACCCAAAUUGUCUGUCCUAUGGCCCUGAACCUUUUCUUAAUGUACAUCCAUGUAUUUACUUAUUUGUGGGAAAUGCUGAAACCACAGAGUUCCUGUUUGCUCUGUUUCUUAGGCAUAAAGUUAUUCUGUGGUCAGAGACACCUAAGACCAUUAGACACUCACACUACAGAUCUGAAGAAGGGCUAUUUACCCGAGCUUCCAGGAAAAAUAUUGACAAGGCAGUAAAAAUACUUUCCUUGAUUACUCAGCCUUGUAUUUUAAACCUAAAAUUACAGGAACUUUUCUCUUUUAGUCAUUUAUUUUUAGCUUCCCUAUUUUUCUACCUUUUUGGGUUUUUUGGGCUCACCUUUUAAAAAUGGUGUAUUUAUACUGACUGCAAAUCGAGGAAUAGCAAACUGUUUAGAGUGUUGUCACUGUUUUCUUCUGACCAGUUUUCAAGCUACUUGGGGACAAGUGAAUCUCAGCUUCUGGAGAUAAACGGGAAGAGGAAAAUUUGUUACACGGCUGAAAGAAACUUCAAAAAGUUAUUUAGUGUUGAUUUUCAGGAAAGUCACCAUAUUAACCAUUCCUUAGUUCCUCUUACUCUUUUUUUUUUUUUUUUUUUUUUGAGACGGAGUCUUGCUCUGUGGCCAGGCUGAGUACAGUGCCAGAUCUCAGCUCCACGGCAAGCUCCGCCU
Molecule: long non-coding RNA, 5267 nt
Filed under: Macaca nemestrina (pig-tailed macaque)
Lineage: Eukaryota; Metazoa; Chordata; Mammalia; Primates; Cercopithecidae
Description: lncRNA (ENSMNEG00000046015.1)
Source: RNAcentral